GUCCGCACAGUAAACGAUGAAUGCUCGCUGUUUGCGAUACAAUGUAAGCGGCCAAGCGAAAGCGUUAAGCAUUCCACCUGGGGAGUACGCCGGCAACGGUGAAACUCAAAGGAAUUGACGGGGGCCCGCACAAGCGGAGGAACAUGUGGUUUAAUUCGAUGAUACGCGAGGAACCUUACCCGGGCUUGAAUUGCAACCGAACCAUCCGGAGACGGGUGUGCCGCAAGGCGGUUGUGAAGGUGCUGCAUGGUUGUCGU
This 257-nucleotide ribosomal RNA is filed under the name uncultured bacterium. RNAcentral's name for it is "partial 16S ribosomal RNA". It matches the Rfam family "Bacterial small subunit ribosomal RNA", at positions 793 to 1055 of the family's 1533-position model. The record is from RNAcentral.